UUUCCGUAGGUGAACCUGCGGAAGGAUCAUUAUUGUAUAACCGAGGUGCGAGGGCUGUCGCUGACCCGAAAGGUCGUGCACGCCCGAGUGCCCUCACACACAUCCACCUCACCCCUAUUUGCACCACCGCGUGGGUCCCCCUUUGGCUUGUUCGGAGGGGGGCUUACGUUUUCACACAAACUUUGUAUGCAGUGUAGAAUGUAUUUUUUGUUUUUGCGAUCACGCAAUCAAUACAACUUUCAACAACGGAUCUCUUGGCUCUC
RNAcentral lists this unclassified non-coding RNA (263 nucleotides) under plant metagenome. RNAcentral describes it as "partial contains small subunit ribosomal RNA, internal transcribed spacer 1, and 5.8S ribosomal RNA". The record is from RNAcentral.